GAUGAAGAACGCAGCGAAAUGCGAUACGUAAUGUGAAUUGCAAAUUCAGUGAGUCAUCGAGUCUUUGAACGCACAUUGCGCCCCCUGGUAUUCCGGGGGGCAUGCCUGUCCGAGCGUCAUUGCUGCCCUCAAGCACGGCUUGUGUGUUGGGCCCCGUCCUCCGAUCCCGGGGGACGGGCCCGAAAGGCAGCGGCGGCACCGCGUCCGGUCCUCGAGCGUAUGGGGCUUUGUCACCCGCUCUGUAGGCCCGGCCGGCGCUUGCCGAUCAACCCAAAUUUUUAUCCAGGUUGACCUCGGAUCAGGUAGGGAUACCCGCUGAACUUAAGCAUAUCAAUAAGCGGAGGA
RNAcentral lists this unclassified non-coding RNA (345 nucleotides) under soil metagenome. RNAcentral's name for it is "partial contains 5.8S ribosomal RNA, internal transcribed spacer 2, and large subunit ribosomal RNA". The stretch from base 1 to 119 matches the Rfam family "5.8S ribosomal RNA", at positions 35 to 154 of the family's 154-position model. The record is from RNAcentral.